Molecule: long non-coding RNA, 156 nt
Filed under: Mustela putorius furo (domestic ferret)
Lineage: Eukaryota; Metazoa; Chordata; Mammalia; Carnivora; Mustelidae
Description: lncRNA (ENSMPUG00000026171.1)
Source: RNAcentral
GCCUGUCUAAAGUUUAGUCAACCUGAAGGAAACUUUAAAAUGAUGUUUUCACUAGCGUGGGAGUGGGAGGCUGACUCCCUAAUGUGGCUAUGGAACUUUGGGCAAGAUGAGCCAAGUUGUCCUUUGUCAGCUUAUGUCUAAUUCAAGAGUAUGACC